Merluccius polli (Benguela hake) is the source of this 76-nucleotide non-coding RNA. The record is from the annotation of a GenBank genome assembly. NCBI's taxonomy places the organism in Eukaryota, Metazoa, Chordata, Actinopteri, Gadiformes, Merlucciidae.
GGGCUGGCGCAGCUGGCACCGAGCACGGCAUUAACACUGCCAGGGUUAGUGGUUUGAUUCCCACUGGGGCCGCCCA